UUUGGGGUUGCCGGAGUUUCAUGAUGAACGGAAUUGUUUGCCCAACAGACCGGUGCAACGCUCUCCGGGACAGUGUAAGGCCUUUUUGUCUAAAAAAAUUCAUUGUAGUGCUUUCAGGUGUCAUAAAUUUGUUCCUGUUUUGCCACCUCCUCCGCCACUUUCACCGCCCUUGCCUGCCCCUCCGCCACCUGUUUAUUCGCCUCCGCCACCAGUUUAUACUCCUCCUUCUCCUUCCCCACCACCUCCUCCACCUCCAGUUUAUUCACCACCGCCACCACCACCCUCUCCACCUCCUCCAUCACCUCCCCCGCCUCCACCACCAGUCUAUUCACCUCCACCCCCACCUCCAUCUCCUCCUCCACCAUCACCUCCACCACCACCCCCGCCAUCUCCACCUCCACCACCAGUUUAUUCAUCACCACCACCGCCACCAUCUCCCCCUCCACCAUCACCUCCACCUCCUCCCCCACCCGUUUAUUCGCCACCACCAUCUCCACCUCCUCCAUCACCAUUGCCUUAUUGUAUACGCUCACCUCCACCACCAAAUUCCCCACCUCCUAAUUCUCCACCUCCACCGCUUGCUCACUCGCCUCCACCCCCUUCACCUUACUAUUACAAUUCACCACCACCUCCGCCCCCAAAUUCGCCUCCUCCUCCACCAGUAUACAUAUACUCAUCACCUCCGCCACCAAAUUCACCUCCUCCUCCACCGCCAACAUACGUAUAUUCUUCACCUCCUCCACCUCCUUCCCCAUUGCCUUGUAUAGAACCCCCUCCACCACCUCCUCCUUGCAUUGAACCACCCCCACCCCCCUCCCCUUCACCAUCUCCUCCUCCACCACCGGUUUAUCAUUACAAUUCUCCGCCCCCACCAUCUCCAUCACCUCCACCACCAGUUUAUUAUCAUUACAAUUCUCCGCCCCCACCAUCUCCAUCACCUCCACCACCAGUUUAUUAUUACAAUUCUCCACCACCACCAUCACCACCGCCUACUCCAGUAUACGAAGGGCCAUUACCACCAGUAAUAGGAGUUCAAUAUGCUUCACCACCUCCACCACCCUUUUAUUAAUUCUUUCAGAAAUUUCACUAACUCUUAUCCUCAGAGCACAAAAUAGUUCCUACAAUUAUUAUUUC
Molecule: long non-coding RNA, 1134 nt
Filed under: Solanum tuberosum (potato)
Lineage: Eukaryota; Viridiplantae; Streptophyta; Magnoliopsida; Solanales; Solanaceae
Description: long non-coding RNA (STUB_LNC011165)
Source: RNAcentral